UCCCUGGUGGUCCAGUGGUUAAGACUUCAGCUUCCAAUGCAGAGGGUACAGGUUUGAUUCCUGGUUGGGGAA
Molecule: transfer RNA, 72 nt
Filed under: Bos taurus (domestic cattle)
Lineage: Eukaryota; Metazoa; Chordata; Mammalia; Artiodactyla; Bovidae
Also listed under: 2 other names
Rfam family: tRNA
About the family: Transfer RNA (tRNA) molecules are approximately 80 nucleotides in length. Their secondary structure includes four short double-helical elements and three loops (D, anti-codon, and T loops).
Source: Rfam by way of RNAcentral